UACGGGGGGGGCAAGCGUUGUUCGGAAUUACUGGGCGUAAAGGGCGCGUAGGCGGCCCUCCUUGUCGCGUGUGAAAGCCCCGGGCUCAACCUGGGAACGGCGCGCGAGACGGGGGGGCUGGAGUUCGGGAGAGGAGCGUGGAAUUCCCAGUGUAGAGGUGAAAUUCGUAGAUAUUGGGAAGAACACCGGUGGCGAAGGCGGCGCUCUGGACCGAGACUGACGCUGAGGCGCGAAAGCGUGGGGAGCAAACAGG
This 253-nucleotide ribosomal RNA is filed under the name uncultured bacterium. RNAcentral describes it as "partial 16S ribosomal RNA". It matches the Rfam family "Bacterial small subunit ribosomal RNA", at positions 524 to 776 of the family's 1533-position model. The record is from RNAcentral.